This 478-nucleotide ribosomal RNA is filed under the name uncultured bacterium. Its description in RNAcentral is "partial 16S ribosomal RNA". It matches the Rfam family "Bacterial small subunit ribosomal RNA", at positions 28 to 523 of the family's 1533-position model. The record is from RNAcentral.
GACAAACGCUGGCGGCGUGCUUAACACAUGCAAGUCAAACGGUAAGGCCCUUCGGGGUACACGAGUGGCGAACGGGUGAGUAACACGUGGGUGAUCUGCCCUGCACUUCGGGAUAAGCCUGGGAAACUGGGUCUAAUACCGGAUAGGACUCCGGACUGCAUGGUCUGGGGUGGAAAGCUUUUGCGGUGUGGGAUGGGCCCGCGGCCUAUCAGCUUGUUGGUGGGGUGAUGGCCUACCAAGGCGACGACGGGUAGCCGGCCUGAGAGGGUGACCGGCCACACUGGGACUGAGAUACGGCCCAGACUCCUACGGGAGGCAGCAGUGGGGAAUAUUGCACAAUGGGCGCAAGCCUGAUGCAGCGACGCCGCGUGAGGGAUGACGGCCUUCGGGUUGUAAACCUCUUUCAGCAUCGACGAAGCGAAAGUGACGGUAGGUGCAGAAGAAGGACCGGCCAACUACGUGCCAGCCGCCGCAGUAA